CCGGGAGGUGCUCACACUGCAGUUGGGACAUUUUGCCGGUUUUGUGGGCGCGCACUGGUGGAACCAGCAGGAUGCUGCGCUGGGCCAAGCGACCGAUUCCAAGGAGCCCCUGGGAGAGCUGUGCCCCGACGUCCUGUAUCGUACGGGCCGAACGCUGCACGGCCAGGAGACCUACACGCCGCGACUCAUCCUCAUGGAUCUGAAGGGUAGUUUGAGCUCCCUAAAAGAGGAAGGUGGACUCUACAGGGACAAACAGUUGGAUGCUGCAAUAGCAUGGCAGGGGAAGCUCACCACACACAAAGAGGAACUCUAUCCCAAGAACCCUUAUCUCCAGGACUUUCUGAGUGCAGAGAGGCCAGCAUCAGGGUCUGGUCAGACUUCCUCAGAGUCCAUCUCCAUCCCCGGAGCAUCUGUAUGAUUCAGAAGUACAACCACGAUGGGACAAGAGGCUGAGGAGUUGAGGGAAGAGAUGUAAGUCUUGGAUCGUGUUUACUUGUGGCAGGGAAGCAGGUCGGCUGGAGGCUUUUGGCCAAGGGGAAAGUGUCCUAAAGGAACCCAAGUACCAGGAAGAGCUGGAGGACAGGCUGCACUUCUACGUGGAGGAAUGUGACUACUUGCAGGGCUUCCAGAUCCUGUGUGACCUGCACGAUGGCUUCUCUGGGGUAGGCGCAAAGGCGGCAGAGCUGCUACAAGAUGAAUAUUCAGGGCGGGGAAUAAUAACGUGGGGCCUGCUACCUGGUCCCUACCAUCGUGGGGUGAGUGGAACUUAGAGAAGUAAACA
This 781-nucleotide small RNA is filed under the name Pongo abelii (Sumatran orangutan). RNAcentral's name for it is "processed transcript". The record is from RNAcentral. Lineage: Eukaryota; Metazoa; Chordata; Mammalia; Primates; Hominidae.